GACGAACGCUGGCGGCGUGCUUAACACAUGCAAGUCGAACGGAAAGGCCUGCUUUCCCUUGUGGAUUGCUGGUACUCGAGUGGCGAACGGGUGAGUAACACGUGAGUGAUCUGCCCCCAACUUGGGUAUAAGCCUGGGAAACUGGGUCUAAUUACCUAUAGGACUGCAGGGUGGUGCCUGUGGUGGAAGACGAUUUUCUAGUGGUUGGGGAUGAGCUCGCGGCCUAUCAGCUUGUUGGUGGGGCAAUGGCCUACCAAGGCGGGGACGGGUAGCCGGCCUGGGAGCGUGGACAGUGACAUUGGGACUGGGAUCCGACCCAGACUGCUACGAGAGGCAGCAGUGGGGACUCUAGGAGAGUGGGCGGAAGCCUGAUGCAGCGACGCAGCGUGGGGGAUGUCGGCAUUCGGAUUGUAAACUCCUUUCGACCGAGAGGAAGCCAACUGGUUGGAAGGGUCGUGACGGUAGUGGUAGAAGAAGCACCGGCUAACUACGUG
Molecule: ribosomal RNA, 494 nt
Filed under: uncultured bacterium
Lineage: Bacteria
Description: partial 16S ribosomal RNA
Rfam family: Bacterial small subunit ribosomal RNA
Source: RNAcentral